CCACAGCAGGAGAUAACUGUAGUGUUCCUCUUCCAAUUUUUCGUGGAGUGGGCCCUUGAACAUCAGCUCAGUGUGUUGUUGGAAUCUCCUCCAUGCGUCAGGCAAAUCCAGGGAAUCCCAGUCCAUGCUGGGCAUCAGCACGCCAGCGGAGUCCAUCUUCUCUUCCUCUGAAACCCUCCAACACUGUUCUCCGGCCGGAAGUGAUGAUCUGACUAGUUAUCACGAAAACAGAGAAGCAGAAUUUCUUUUAGAAUCAGCAAAUGCAGUGUAAGCAGCUUACAGCGUCAUCAUUUGCUUGGCUUGUUAUUUAGUGACAGUUCGGCUCAUAUCAGCACAGGCUGCAGUCGUCGGAGGUGAAGCUCGCGGUGUUUUGCUGUGCUUCACAAUGAGCUUUGUUUCUGUGCGCCGCUGAUACGGCCGAGUCGGAAGCACACGCUCGGCCCAGACUACACAGCGCUAUCACAUCCAGCUCUUAUCGCAGCUAAUUCCUUUAAGGUUCCAUAACAGCAAUUAGCAUUUUCUUCCUCUUCUGUGAAAUUCACAAAGAAAUGACGCUGUAUCAUCUCAAUCAAAGCCUGUUGUGUCUCAUCUGAGAGCACCACAUGAUGCUAAUGGGUUAAUUCUGUAAACUGCUUUUCCUCGCAGUGUGUUUAAGGAGAGAAAGCCGAGCGUCCGGGCCAAAGAAAAUAACACAAGCAGCUGCGCUGGUUCUUAACAGACUCUUAUAAUCAGUGAGAAAUGCUCCUCAGACUGUGUAGAGUCCAUCACACUGAAC
Cyprinus carpio carpio is the source of this 775-nucleotide long non-coding RNA. NCBI's taxonomy places the organism in Eukaryota, Metazoa, Chordata, Actinopteri, Cypriniformes, Cyprinidae. The record is from Ensembl.